AGCGAAAAUAUCACCAGUAGAGAGAAAAGUUACAGGCAAAAACAUCACAAGUAGAGAGAAACGUUACAGGCAAGAGACAAUAAUGAAUGAGAAAUGAUAAGAACAAAAUCUAACAGUUUAAGGAAUUCGUUGUCUCAUCAAACACCAAACAAAACUAACUACAAUCUUGACUCGCACUAGCCUUUGCAUAGUAUUAAGACACCAACCAAUAUUAUUCAGAAUCGCACAAAUUAAAAACAAGCAAGCAUAUAACAUAAAAUACCUUACACAGACAAGCUAUUCAUCGUCAGCCCGAAACGACAAUGGUAGAGAUGGACUGCCACUCCUGAAGGUGAUCCGUGGUAUCCUUCAAUGGAACUCCUCUUAGUCUGCACCACCUUGUACAUUUUCAAUAAUUGGAAGUUUAAACCCAUGAUUAGUAGCCUCCCAUAUCGAUUCAAUGAAUCCGUUCUAUUUUGAAAUGUUCUCCUCCACCUGGUGUGCGCCCUUUAAUAAACUCCAUAGACAUAUUGAAGAUUACCAGGUGACGGAGGAUAGUAAGGUCUUCAAACCCUUGAGGAAGCAUGUUCAAUUUUGGGCAAUCACCGACGGAUGGGUGAGAAAGGCAGAGGAAUGAUCUCAUCUUCAUAUCGCUCCAAUUCUCCCAGUUUUUAACUCACAAACAAUAAAAGUUUUGAGUAAGGGAAAUGAACUCGAACCCAUAGUCUAAAAAAACGGUCUGCCACGCGCCUUGGACCAAAACACCGCCUGUCCAGACCCAGACGGCCCAACAUGGGCGGAUAUACCUGGGCGAGUGCCUAGGAGGGCUAGGCAAGCGCCCAAGCGGGCUAGGCGGGUGCCUAGGGUGGCGCCCACGGAUAUGGGUUUUUUUUUUUCUUGUGAUACCCAAAGGAAAAAAAAGAAGGUAAUUUUGACCCAGAAAAAGGUUUAAAUAGGUUAUGGAGAUUAUUUUCAACCCUUAAAAUUGAAAGAACAAUUCCAUAAACCCUUAAUGUCUUAGUUAUACAUAUUUCUGAGAAUCAAAAGUAUUUUUUUAUGGUUUGAAGAAGCUUCUUAAACCUUUUCACUUAUUAUGUCAUAUGGAGAGUUGGAGACUAUUAAUAAUACAUAUCCUAUUAAACUUUUAAAUUUUGUAUGGUUUGAAUUUUGAUAUUUUGAACAAGUU
RNAcentral lists this long non-coding RNA (1165 nucleotides) under Amborella trichopoda. Its description in RNAcentral is "long non-coding RNA (ATRI_LNC005086)". Lineage: Eukaryota; Viridiplantae; Streptophyta; Magnoliopsida; Amborellales; Amborellaceae. The record is from RNAcentral.